GACGAACCGUGCGAACGUUGUUCGGAAUCACUGGGCUUAAAGGGCGCGUAGGCGGCUUCGCAAGUCCGGGGUGAAAGCCCCCAGCUCAACUGGGGAAGUGCCUCGGAUACUGCGGAGCUCGAGGGAGGUAGGGGCGGAUGGAACUUCCGGUGGAGCGGUGAAAUGCGUUGAUAUCGGAAGGAACGCCGGUGGCGAAAGCGAUCCGCUGGCCCUCUACUGACGCUGAGGCGCGAAAGCCAGGGGAGCAAACGGG
RNAcentral lists this ribosomal RNA (253 nucleotides) under uncultured bacterium. RNAcentral's name for it is "partial 16S ribosomal RNA". It matches the Rfam family "Bacterial small subunit ribosomal RNA", at positions 524 to 776 of the family's 1533-position model. The record is from RNAcentral.